Molecule: microRNA, 22 nt
Filed under: Glycine max (soybean)
Lineage: Eukaryota; Viridiplantae; Streptophyta; Magnoliopsida; Fabales; Fabaceae
Description: gma-miR2118b-5p
Source: miRBase by way of RNAcentral
GGAGAUGGGAGGGUCGGUAAAG